Molecule: ribosomal RNA, 264 nt
Filed under: Triticum aestivum (bread wheat)
Lineage: Eukaryota; Viridiplantae; Streptophyta; Magnoliopsida; Poales; Poaceae
Description: partial small subunit ribosomal RNA
Source: RNAcentral
AAGAAUACGCGGAGGAGGUGGCCCGGGUCGGUGUCGCCGCCGUCCGGCGCGGGCCACGGGCCCGCUUCCAAGUGUGUCUGCGCGCCGGCCACCCACGCCAUGUCCUUCAAGUGCCGCUUCCACCGCACCAACUCCCAGGGCCACGACCACGGCCAGGGCCAGGGAAGCCGCCCUUCUUCGCCCCCUUCACCGACCGCGGCCAAAGCGGUGCCACGGCACCCGGCCUCGCCGUCCUCGUCCUCCGGCACCAUCGCGAUCCAGUGA